AUGGUUUUCCCCUCUUUUUGGCAGAGUGGGAUAGAGCUGUGAUCUUUAAGAUCUUGUCUUUCUUCUUAGUGGACAGGGGAGAAGAGGUGCAGGAUUGAGAUAACCUACCUUGUUUUAACCUGAGUGACUCUCUCCUAGCAGAGAGAGCCGGAUAGGCUCCAUUUUAGUUUCUUCACUUGCAGUCUCCUUUAUCCCCCUUAAGGGAAUAACUAGUGCACGCUGACUCCACGCACAUCCAGGAAUGCACCUGCUGAUAAGAGACUGAGGCAGGCUGUACCAGCAGCUCCUGGGAAUGGGCUCGGUGGAAGGUCAUCCUGCUGCUCUCUCAGUUUCCCAGGGGUUUGUGCGUCUGCCUUCUGCUAUGCAUUUUCCCACGGCCUUGUUGGUUCCUUCCACAGAGGCAAAUCAGAGACAAGAGACGUCUUUUCCAAAACUCUAUCAAAAUGACAGAGCCUCGGCAUGGCCUUCCCCACCUCCUGCAGAUUGUGUCACACAGCUCACGGUGGACAGUGUGCCAGCUCUUGGGCAUGGCGAAAGAACGAUCUUUGGAAGAGCAGGGAAGCCCAGAAGUUCACAGAAAAGAAAGCUGUCAAGUUCUUCUCGCAACCGUGAUGAUGCCUGCUUCCCCUUCCGCCAUAACUGUAAGCUUCCUGAGGCCUCCCCUGCCAUGUGGAACUGUGUAAAUUCUAGAGUCUCAUCACUGGGAGCACACAGCAGACAAUGGUCAUGA
Molecule: long non-coding RNA, 730 nt
Filed under: Papio anubis (olive baboon)
Lineage: Eukaryota; Metazoa; Chordata; Mammalia; Primates; Cercopithecidae
Description: lncRNA (ENSPANG00000040861.1)
Source: RNAcentral